CCCAAAGAAACGCAGACUAAGAACGCCACGCCCUGUGGCAAUGUCUGCCUGACCCCCAUCCU
Molecule: small RNA, 62 nt
Filed under: Cytobacillus firmus
Lineage: Bacteria; Bacillati; Bacillota; Bacilli; Caryophanales; Bacillaceae
Also listed under: 1 other name
Description: Bacillus firmus Bacillaceae-1 RNA
Rfam family: Bacillaceae-1 RNA
Source: RNAcentral